Molecule: ribosomal RNA, 467 nt
Filed under: uncultured bacterium
Lineage: Bacteria
Description: partial 16S ribosomal RNA
Rfam family: Bacterial small subunit ribosomal RNA
Source: RNAcentral
GACGAACGCUGGCGGCGUGCUUAACACAUGCAAGUCGAACGGAAAGGCCUCUUUCGGGGGGUACUCGCGUGGCGAACGGGUGAGUAACACGUGAGUAACCUGCCCUUGACUUUGGGAUAACUUCAGGAAACUGGGGCUAAUACCGGAUAGGAGCUCCUGCUGCCUGGUGGGGGUUGGAAAGUUUCGGCGGUUGGGGAUGGACUCGCGGCUUAUCAGCUUGUUGGUGGGGUAGUGGCUUACCAAGGCUUUGACGGGUAGCCGGCCUGAGAGGGUGACCGGCCACAUUGGGACUGAGAUACGGCCCAGACUCCUACGGGAGGCAGCAGUGGGGAAUAUUGCACAAUGGGUGGAAGCCUGAUGCAGCAACGCCGUGUGCGGGAUGACGGCCUUCGGGUUGUAAACCGCUUUCGCUCAUGACGAAGCUUUGUGUGACGGUAGUGGGUAAAGAAGCACCGGCUAACUACGUG